CCAGGUUGAUUCUGCCUGACGUAGACGCUAUUCCCUAAGAUUAACCCAUGCAUGUUUUUGACAUUUGAAAAAUGGACUGCUCAGUAAUACUCACUUUAUUUUAUGUAAAUUUUUGGUUAAUUAACUACGUUAAAGUGUAGAUAAGAUGUUUACAGUAAGAGUGAGACCUAUCAGCUAGUUGUUAAGGUAAUGGCUUAACAAGGCUGUGACGGGUAACGGUAUUACUUUGUAAUAUUCCGGAGAAGGAGCCUGAGAGACGGCUACUAAGUCUAAGGAUUGCAGCAGGGGCGAAACUUGACCUAUGGAUUUUAUCUGAGGCAGUUAUGGGAAGUAAUAUUAUAUUGUUUCAUAUUUUAAAAGUAUAUGAGGUGAUUAAUUGGAGGGCAAAUCAAGUGCCAGCAGCCGCGGUAAUACUUGUUCCAAGAGUGUGUAUGAUGAUUGAUGCAGUUAAAAAGUCCGUAGUUUAUUUUUUUAAGAAGCAAUAUGAGGUGUACUGUAUAGUUGGGAGAAAGAUGAAAUGUGACGACCCUGACUGGACGAACA
Molecule: ribosomal RNA, 543 nt
Filed under: Vairimorpha ceranae
Lineage: Eukaryota; Fungi; Microsporidia; Nosematidae
Description: SSU rRNA
Rfam family: Microsporidia small subunit ribosomal RNA
Source: RNAcentral